This 449-nucleotide ribosomal RNA is filed under the name uncultured bacterium. RNAcentral describes it as "bacterial SSU rRNA". It matches the Rfam family "Bacterial small subunit ribosomal RNA", at positions 29 to 524 of the family's 1533-position model. The record is from RNAcentral.
AACGAACGCUGGCGGCAUGCCUAACACAUGCAAGUCGAACGAAGCCUUCGGGCUUAGUGGCGCACGGGUGCGUAACGCGUGGGAAUCUGCCCUUGGGUUCGGAAUAACAGUUAGAAAUGACUGCUAAUACCGAAUGAUGUCUUCGGACCAAAGAUUUAUCGCCCAAGGAUGAGCCCGCGUCGGAUUAGCUAGUUGGUGAGGUAAGGCUCACCAAGGCGACGAUCCGUAGCUGGUCUGAGAGGAUGAUCAGCCACACUGGGACUGAGACACGGCCCAGACUCCUACGGGAGGCAGCAGUGGGGAAUAUUGGACAAUGGGCGAAAGCCUGAUCCAGCAAUGCCGCGUGAGUGAUGAAGGCCUUAGGGUUGUAAAGCUCUUUUACCCGGGAUGAUAAUGACAGUACCGGGAGAAUAAGCCCCGGCUAACUCCGUGCCAGCAGCCGCGGUAAU